RNAcentral lists this ribosomal RNA (2421 nucleotides) under Triticum aestivum (bread wheat). RNAcentral describes it as "partial small subunit ribosomal RNA". The record is from RNAcentral. Lineage: Eukaryota; Viridiplantae; Streptophyta; Magnoliopsida; Poales; Poaceae.
AUGAAGCAGGCCGGCACGCCGUGCAUUCCAGUUUUCAUCCUCCUGUUCUUCGUCAGUCCAUUCUGCAGAUCCGAUGACCGGCUGUGGCCUGCAAAACCGCUCUCCGCCGGCGACACCAUCGUCUCCAAGGGCGGGGACUUUGCGCUCGGCUUCUUCUCCCCGGACAGCUCCAACACGAGCCUGUACCUUGGCAUAUGGUACCACAACAUGGCUGGUCGCACCGUCGUAUGGACCGCCAACCGCGACGAUCCAAUCCCCGCCGCUUCAUCUCCAACGCUCGCCAUCACCAACAGUUCCGACCUGGUGUUGUCCGACUCCCAAGGUCACACUCCUUGGGCCGUGAAGAGCGACAUCAAGGGCAGCAUGGGAGUUACUGCGGUGCUUCUUGACACGGGGAAUUUUGUCGUCCAGUCACCAAAUGACACAUCCAUUUGGCAGACCUUUGAUCACCCUACGGACACGCUCCUCCCAGGUAGGACCAUGUUGAGCAAGAAGGGCCAUGUCGUUUGGCGCCUGAUUGCUUCUAAGGGCCUCAAUGACCUGUCAACUGGAGUCUUUUCUAUGAGCCUUGAUCCUAGCUCGGACCUUCAGUUUUUCAUUUGGAACGGGGCUAGGCCCUAUCGCCGCCGCAUCUUCAACGGUGAGAUGGCGGUUGGCACAUUAUACCAGAACACUGUCUUGUAUGAAGCCAUUAUCAGGACAAGGGAUGGGUUCUAUUAUGAUUUUAGAGUUUCUGGUGCCUCGCAGUACGCACAUCUUACGCUCGACUACAUGGGUGUGUUGACUCUGAGCUUGAACAACCGCUCGUCAUGGAGAACCAUCACCGCACCCCCCGCUAGCUGCAACAUCUACGCUUCGUGUGGCCCGUUCGGCUAUUGUGACUACACGGCGGCUGUCCCGACAUGUAGUUGCCUUGAUGGGUUUGAGCCCUCUGGUCCUAACUUUUCAAGCGGAUGUAGAAGAAUCCAAGACCUGAAAUGCAGCAAGCAAAAUCAUUUCGUGACCUUACCUAGGAUGAUGCUCCCCGACAAAUUUUUACGUGUCCACAACAGAAGCUUCGGCGACUGCAUGACUGAGUGCAGCAACAAUUGCUUGUGUACAGCCUAUGCUUAUGCCAACUAUAGCACUAAUGAUGCUACGGCCGACCAGUCAAGGUGCUUGGUUUGGACAGGGGAGCUUAUCGACACAGGAAAGUUUAGCGAGUAUGGCGAGAACCUGUACCUCCGGCUUGCCAACUCUCCUGUUCAAAAGAAUAACAAAUUGGUAAAGAUUUUACUCCCAACCAUGGCAUGCGUGCUGAUACUUGCAUGUACAGCCCUUGUCAGCAUAUGCAAAUACAAAGCAGGCACACGGAAGAAGAAGGAAAUACACAAUGGACCGAUGCUAGGAUACCUUAGCUCGUUCAGUGAAAUGGGCGGUGAACAUGUGGAGUUUCCUUUUUUUAGCUUCGAAGAUAUUGCUGCUGCAACGGAUAAUUUCUCUGAAUUUAACCAAAUUGGAAGCGGAGGUUUUGGUAAAGUUUACAAGGGAAUGUUGCAAGGUGACAAAGAAGUUGCUAUCAAAAGGCUUAGUAAGGGCUCUGCUCAAGGGAUAGAGGAGUUCAAAAAUGAAAUAAUUCUGAUUGCGAAAUUGCAACACAGAAAUCUUGUUAGACUUCUUGGUUGCUGUAUUUAUGGAGAUGAGAGGUUACUUAUCUAUGAAUACUUACCUAACAAAAGCUUGGAUACAUUCCUUUUUGACGAUACAAGACAACAUGAGCUUGAUUGGUCCAUACGCUUCAAAAUAAUUAAAGGGGUAGCGAGAGGGCUUCUUUACCUCCACCAAGAUUCAAGAUUAACUAUAAUUCACAGAGAUCUCAAACCAAGCAACAUCUUGAUGGAUUAUGAAAUGACUCCCAAAAUAUCAGACUUCGGUAUGGCGAGGAUCUUUGGUGGAAACAAACAAGAGGCAAGCACUACCCGGGUUGUGGGGACAUAUGGUUACAUGUCGCCUGAAUAUGUGAUGGGAGGUGCUUUUUCUGUAAAAUCGGACACCUAUAGCUUCGGUGUUCUUCUCUUGGAGAUUGUAAGUGGCUUGAAGAUCACCUCGCCGCAACUCGUAAUGAACUUUGUCGGCCUUACAGCUUAUGCAUGGAGACUGUGGGUGGAUGGAAAAGCAACAGAACUGGUGCACUCUUCGGUUAUUGAGAGUUGUUCACUUGAUGAAGUUCUACGGUGUAUCCAUGUCGGACUCCUGUGCGUUCAAGACUGUCCGAAUGAUAGGCCACUCAUGGCAUCAGUUACUUUUAUGUUGGAGAAUGAAAGUGCACUGCUCCCAGCACCAAAGCAGCCUGCAUAUUUUCCUCUACGAAGUCUCGAACCAGGAAAAAUAAGGGGAAAUUCUAUGAAUUUAGUGAGUAUCACAACACUUGAUGGGCGUUAG